RNAcentral lists this ribosomal RNA (253 nucleotides) under uncultured bacterium. RNAcentral describes it as "partial 16S ribosomal RNA". It matches the Rfam family "Bacterial small subunit ribosomal RNA", at positions 524 to 776 of the family's 1533-position model. The record is from RNAcentral.
UACGGAGGAUCCAAGCGUUAUCCGGAUUUAUUGGGUUUAAAGGGUGCGUAGGCGGAUUGAUAAGUUAGAGGUGAAACGUCCGAGCUCAACUCGGGAACUGCCUCUAAUACUGUUGAUCUAGAGAGUAGAUGCGGUAGGCGGAAUGUAUGGUGUAGCGGUGAAAUGCUUAGAGAUCAUACAGAACACCGAUUGCGAAGGCAGCUUACCAAUCUAUAUCUGACGUUGAGGCACGAAAGCGUGGGGAGCAAACAGG